UUUUCGUUUUUUAUUCGAUUUUAUUGAAAAACGUUCUGUAGAUGUAAAUUCACAAGUUAUUUUGAUUAUUUUACUCAUCCAUAGCAACGCCAUAGGGCAAAAAAGGUCGACAAACACCGCAAAAAGUAAGAAGUACAUUUGGAAACAAUUUAUAUCUUUUCGUGCGGAAAAACAUUAUAACAUGGAUCGAGAUACUCCAAUCUCGGAACUUGCAUCUAUUUUAAAAAGCUGGGUUUACAACAUGCGUUAACAAAAUGGAGAGGAAUACAAAGAACACACUGUUAAAACCAUCUGGAACGUCACAGCUAGUCUAUUGAUGGAGAAAUGUUUUAAGGGGUAUGGAACAAAAAUAAAUCCGUUUGAGCAAAUCGAAUUUAAAUCAGCGCGAGAUGCAAGAAAUGCAAAACGAAGAGAAUUACAAGGUUGUGAAAAUAAACUUGUAAUGAAGAAACCCCCGAAGGACUGCAGAAAAACGUAUUUCUUUCUCUUUCCUAUGAACUUGCUUGGAGAGGAGGCGAAGGCGCACGAGCACAAAUGGGCGUUUUUAAAGAAGAAUUGCACAUCAACGGGGAAAAACUGGCAGAAUUGAGUACAAUCCUGUAUUUGCAAAAACCACACAAGGAGGCGAUAAAAAAUUUGCCUAUCCCAAAUGGUUAGUCAAAAACAAUUGAAACGUCAGAUUUUGUCCUGUAAGGCUGUUUUUUAAAUUGAAAGAAAAACGAGGAGAAACAAAAUGCCAACGACUUUUUCUGACGGUCAAUCCACACUGGAAACAAACUGGACACUGGUA
Molecule: long non-coding RNA, 790 nt
Organism: Dendroctonus ponderosae (mountain pine beetle)
Lineage: Eukaryota; Metazoa; Arthropoda; Insecta; Coleoptera; Curculionidae
Exons: 2
Source: RefSeq, a predicted model, not a curated record